UGAGGAAUAUUGCACAAUGGGGGCAACCCUGAUGCAGCAACGCCGCGUGGAGGAUGAAGGCUCUUGGGUCGUAAACUCCUUUUCUGAGGGAAGAGAAAGGACGGUACCUCAGGAAUAAGGUCCGGCUAACUACGUGCCAGCAGCCGCGGUAACACGUAGGGACCGAGCGUUAUCCGGAAUUACUGGGCGUAAAGGGCACGCAGGCGGCUAGUCAAGUCUGAUGUGAAAGCUCCCGGCUCAACUGGGAGAGGUCGUUGGAAACUGAUUAGCUUGAGGCAAUGAGAGGAGUACAGAAUUCAUGGUGUAGUGGUGGAAUGCGUAGAUAUCAUGAGGAAUACCAGUGGCGAAAGCGGUACUCUGGCAUUGACCUGACGCUCAUGUGCGAAAGCGUGGGGAGCGAACGGGAUUAGAUACCCCCGUAGUCC
This 425-nucleotide ribosomal RNA is filed under the name uncultured prokaryote. RNAcentral describes it as "bacterial SSU rRNA". It matches the Rfam family "Bacterial small subunit ribosomal RNA", at positions 355 to 796 of the family's 1533-position model. The record is from RNAcentral.